AUGGACGCCGCGGAGGUCGCGGCGAAGGUAUGCGCCCUCGAGGCCGAGCUCGCCGCCACUUCCCCCCGCAUUGCCGACCUGGAGGCCCGGGUCUCGCUCCUCGAAGCCGAGAACGCGCGCUGGAGGAAGGCCAUGCCCAGUGGGGAGGCCUCUGGUCGAUUGGUGGAGGGUUUGGGCGGCCCCAAGCCAAAAACAGUCCAGGCGUAUGGUUCUUUUCACGAGGUCGGUGACGGCGAGGAAGAGGGGGUUGCCGCUGAUGCCGGCAACGGGAGGAGCGGCGAGGAGGAUGGUGUUCCCGCGGUGCCGACCCCUAGGAAGCGUGCGGUGCGGGCGGUUAUCGGUGGGAGCAAUGGCGAAAACGAGAUUGACGAUGCCGGGGGAGGUGGUGGUGGUGGAGACCACCGGAGGGUUCGCCGAAAUGUGGGUCUGGAGAAUGAUGACGUUUGGACCACACCCUGCGGUAAGAAGCACACCACCGCACGGGUGGCCAGCAGCGACAGCGAAGAUGAGGGCGAGAAGAACAACAAGGAUGGUGAAUUGCAGGCGGGGGUGUUGGGUGCUCCACCCAGUAGGAAGCGUGCACUGCUUAGAAUAAUUGACAGCGAUGAGGAGGAUGACGAGACAGAAGGGCGCCCUGCACCCACCAUAAGGCGCUUGACUCGCUUAGCUGAAAAACAGUCGAAGAAAGCACGAGUCGAUCCCAAUGAUCAUGAAGAGAGCGAGGAUGGUUCAGGACAAGAUGGUGGUAUGGGUGAAUCUAAAAAUGAUGCAGAUUGUUCAGAAGAUUCUGACAGCGAGAUGGAUUACACCUUGCUGAAGGAUGUGACCCUGGCGUCAAACAACCGGGUGAGGGUUCGAGUCAGAAUAGCGCGCAUUUCACAUUACAUGAGCAAGCAUCAACGAACAGGAAUUCCACGGCUCGAUUUUGUGAUGCUCGAUGAGCAGGGGGGUAUGAUGGACGGCCAAGUACCUGCGUGGUCUGCAUCACCCUUUUUGCAACACAUCAAGGAGAAUGAUGUGUAUUACAUACACCACUUUAAGGUUGUCCACUCUAGUCUGCCCUAUAGGGCCGUUGAUCAUCCUUGCAUGGCAAUGUUCACGGAGUACACAGAGAUAAGCAAGGAUGAACAUGUGCCUGAUAGUUUUCCGGUGUAUGCAUACAAGAUAUCGCCUUAUGAAGUCCUCCGAUCACGUGAAAACAACACAGCGCUAAUGUCUGAUGCCAUUGGUCUUAUGCUGCGAGUUUCAGAUGUGAAAACUGUUACGGUCAAUGGUACACCUCGGGCAGUCCGUAACGUGUACAUAAGUGAUGGCAGAGAGACAGCUGUUGUUGCUUUGUGGGAGGCACAUGCAAAUCAAUUCCCAGCAGAGACUCUGCAGCAGCAGAUGCAGCAAGGACCAGUUGUCAUUCUCUUUGUUGCCGUGACUGUCAAGCUGCGUGAAGGCCAACUGUGUUUGCAAGGAAGCAAAGUCUGUAGGUGGUAUCCCAAUGCUCCUAUUCCAGAAGUUUUAGCUUUGCAGAACAGUUCUGCUGGAGUUUCACAUGGGGCCAGAUUGGUUGACACAUCACCUACACAGACCCAGACGGGAUUCAUGCAUAGCGGGCUUUCUUCUGGAUGGUGA
Molecule: ribosomal RNA, 1623 nt
Filed under: Triticum aestivum (bread wheat)
Lineage: Eukaryota; Viridiplantae; Streptophyta; Magnoliopsida; Poales; Poaceae
Description: partial small subunit ribosomal RNA
Source: RNAcentral